RNAcentral lists this ribosomal RNA (801 nucleotides) under uncultured Planctomycetota bacterium. Its description in RNAcentral is "bacterial SSU rRNA". It matches the Rfam family "Bacterial small subunit ribosomal RNA", at positions 8 to 822 of the family's 1533-position model. The record is from RNAcentral. Lineage: Bacteria; Pseudomonadati; Planctomycetota.
AGAGUUUGAUCCUGGCUCAGAAUGAACGUUGGCGGCGUGGAUUAGGCAUGCAAGUCGAGCGGAAAGGCCCGCAAGGGCACUCGAGCGGCGUAAGGGACAGUAACGUGUAGGUACGUACCCCCGGGUCUAGGAUAGCUGCGGGAAACUGCAAUUAAUACUAGAUAACGUCUCCGGACCAAAGGUGUGAUUCCACCUGGGGAGCGGCCUACAUCCUAUUAGCUAGUUGGCGAGGUAAUGGCUCACCAAGGCAAAGAUGGGUAGCAGGUGUGAGAGCACGACCUGCGUCACUGGGACUGAGACACUGCCCAGACACCUACGGGUGGCUGCAGUCGAGAAUCUUCGGCAAUGGGCGAAAGCCUGACCGAGCGACGCCGCGUGUGGGAUGAAGGCCUUCGGGUUGUAAACCACUGUCGGAGGGGAUGAAGUGUUAGUGGGUUCUCCCAUUAACUUGACUGAUCCUCGGAGGAAGGGUGGGCUAAGUUCGUGCCAGCAGCCGCGGUAAGACGUACCACCCAAACGUUAUUCGGAAUCACUGGGCUUAAAGAGUCCGUAGGCGGCUCGAAAAGUUGGAUGUGAAAUACCUCGGCCUAACCGAGGAACUGCAUUCAAAACUACCGGGCUUGAGAGAGACAGAGGUAAGCGGAACUGAUGGUGGAGCGGUGAAAUGCGUUGAUAUCAUCAGGAACACCGGUGGCGAAAGCGGCUUACUGGGUCUCUUCUGACGCUGAGGGACGAAAGCUAGGGGAGCGAACGGGAUUAGAUACCCCGGUAGUCCUAGCCUUAAACGAUGAGCACUAGAUC